This 1372-nucleotide ribosomal RNA is filed under the name uncultured bacterium. RNAcentral describes it as "bacterial SSU rRNA". It matches the Rfam family "Bacterial small subunit ribosomal RNA", at positions 28 to 1381 of the family's 1533-position model. The record is from RNAcentral.
GAUGAACGCUGGCGGCGUGCCUAAUACAUGCAAGUCGAGCGAACGGACGAGAAGCUUGCUUCUCUGAUGUUAGCGGCGGACGGGUGAGUAACACGUGGAUAACCUACCUAUAAGACUGGGAUAACUUCGGGAAACCGGAGCUAAUACCGGAUAAUAUUUUGAACCGCAUGGUUCAAAAGUGAAAGACGGUCUUGCUGUCACUUAUAGAUGGAUCCGCGCUGCAUUAGCUAGUUGGUAAGGUAACGGCUUACCAAGGCAACGAUGCAUAGCCGACCUGAGAGGGUGAUCGGCCACACUGGAACUGAGACACGGUCCAGACUCCUACGGGAGGCAGCAGUAGGGAAUCUUCCGCAAUGGGCGAAAGCCUGACGGAGCAACGCCGCGUGAGUGAUGAAGGUCUUCGGAUCGUAAAACUCUGUUAUUAGGGAAGAACAUAUGUGUAAGUAACUGUGCACAUCUUGACGGUACCUAAUCAGAAAGCCACGGCUAACUACGUGCCAGCAGCCGCGGGUAUACGUANGUGGCAAGCGUUAUCCCGAAUUAUUGGGGGUAAAGCGCGCGGUAGCGGUUUUUUAAGUCUGAUGUGAAAGCCCACGGCUCAACCGUGGAGGGUCAUUGGAAACUGGAAAACUUGAGUGCAGAAGAGGAAAGUGGAAUUCCAUGUGUAGCGGUGAAAUGCGCAGAGAUAUGGAGGAACACCAGUGGCGAAGGCGACUUUCUGGUCUGUAACUGACGCUGAUGUGCGAAAGCGUGGGGAUCAAACAGGAUUAGAUACCCUGGUAGUCCACGCCGUAAACGAUGAGUGCUAAGUGUUAGGGGGUUUCCGCCCCUUAGUGCUGCAGCUAACGCAUUAAGCACUCCGCCUGGGGAGUACGACCGCAAGGUUGAAACUCAAAGGAAUUGACGGGGACCCGCACAAGCGGUGGAGCAUGUGGUUUAAUUCGAAGCAACGCGAAGAACCUUACCAAAUCUUGACAUCCUUUGACAACUCUAGAGAUAGAGCCUUCCCCUUCGGGGGACAAAGUGACAGGUGGUGCAUGGUUGUCGUCAGCUCGUGUCGUGAGAUGUUGGGUUAAGUCCCGCAACGAGCGCAACCCUUAAGCUUAGUUGCCAUCAUUAAGUUGGGCACUCUAAGUUGACUGCCGGUGACAAACCGGAGGAAGGUGGGGAUGACGUCAAAUCAUCAUGCCCCUUAUGAUUUGGGCUACACACGUGCUACAAUGGACAAUACAAAGGGCAGCGAAACCGCGAGGUCAAGCAAAUCCCAUAAAGUUGUUCUCAGUUCGGAUUGUAGUCUGCAACUCGACUACAUGAAGCUGGAAUCGCUAGUAAUCGUAGAUCAGCAUGCUACGGUGAAUACGUUCCCGGGUCU